RNAcentral lists this ribosomal RNA (397 nucleotides) under uncultured bacterium. Its description in RNAcentral is "partial 16S ribosomal RNA". It matches the Rfam family "Bacterial small subunit ribosomal RNA", at positions 523 to 918 of the family's 1533-position model. The record is from RNAcentral.
AUACGUAGGGGGCGAGCGUUGUCCGGAAUGAUUGGGCGUAAAGGGCGCGUAGGCGGCGCGGUAAGUCUGGAGUGAAAGUCCUGCUUUCAAGGUGGGAAUUGCUUUGGAUACUGCCGCGCUUGAGUGCAGGAGAGGUUAUCGGAAUUCCCGGUGUAGCGGUGAAAUGCGUAGAGAUCGGGAGGAACACCAGUGGCGAAGGCGGGUAACUGGACUGCAACUGAAGCUGAGGCGCGAAAGUGUGGGGAGCAAACAGGAUUAGAUACCCUGGUAGUCCACACUGUAAACGAUGAAUGCUAGGUGUAAGAGGUAUCGACCCCUUUUGUGCCGGAGUCAACACAAUAAGCAUUCCGCCUGGGGAGUACGGCCGCAAGGUUGAAACUCAAAUGAAUUGACGGGG